Molecule: ribosomal RNA, 253 nt
Filed under: uncultured bacterium
Lineage: Bacteria
Description: partial 16S ribosomal RNA
Rfam family: Bacterial small subunit ribosomal RNA
Source: RNAcentral
UACGGGGGGGGCUAGCGUUGUUCGGAAUUACUGGGCGUAAAGGGCGCGUAGGCGGUCUGCUAAGUUGGAUGUGAAAACUCUGGGCUUAACCCAGAGCCUGCAUUCAAUACUGACAGGCUAGAGUUCUGGAGGGGAUAGCGGAAUUCCUGGUGUAGCGGUGAAAUGCGUAGAUAUCAGGAGGAACACCAGUGGCGAAGGCGGCUCACUGGACCGGUUCUGACGCUGAUGCGCGAAAGCGUGGGGAGCAAACGGG